This 195-nucleotide ribosomal RNA is filed under the name Escherichia coli. Its description in RNAcentral is "partial 16S ribosomal RNA". It matches the Rfam family "Bacterial small subunit ribosomal RNA", at positions 1 to 203 of the family's 1533-position model. Lineage: Bacteria; Pseudomonadati; Pseudomonadota; Gammaproteobacteria; Enterobacterales; Enterobacteriaceae. The record is from RNAcentral.
AAAUUGAAGAGUUUGAUCAUGGCUCAGAUUGAACGCUGGCGGCAGGCCUAACACAUGCAAGUCGAACGGUAACAGGAAGAAGCUUGCUUCUUUGCUGACGAGUGGCGGACGGGUGAGUAAUGUCAGGGAAACUGCCUGAUGGAGGGGGAUAACUACUGGAAACGGUAGCUAAUACCGCAUAACGUCGCAAGACCA